RNAcentral lists this ribosomal RNA (410 nucleotides) under uncultured bacterium. Its description in RNAcentral is "bacterial SSU rRNA". It matches the Rfam family "Bacterial small subunit ribosomal RNA", at positions 8 to 422 of the family's 1533-position model. The record is from RNAcentral.
AGAGUUUGAUCCUGGCUCAGAUUGAACGCUGGCGGCAUGCCUUACACAUGCAAGUCGAACGGUAACAGCACUUCGGUGGCUGACGAGUGGCGAACGGGUGAGUAAUACAUCGGAACGUGCCCGAGAGUGGGGGAUAACGCAGCGAAAGCUGUGCUAAUACCGCAUACGAUCUACGGAUGAAAGCAGGGGACCGCAAGGCCUUGCGCUCAUGGAGCGGCCGAUGGCAGAUUAGGUAGUUGGUGGGAUAGAAGCUUACCAAGCCGACGAUCUGUAGCUGGUCUGAGAGGACGACCAGCCACACUGGGACUGAGACACGGCCCAGACUCCUACGGGAGGCAGCAGUGGGGAAUUUUGGACAAUGGGCGAAAGCCUGAUCCAGCCAUGCCGCGUGCAGGAUGAAGGCCUUCGGG